RNAcentral lists this transfer RNA (69 nucleotides) under Myotis horsfieldii. RNAcentral describes it as "tRNA-Ile". Lineage: Eukaryota; Metazoa; Chordata; Mammalia; Chiroptera; Vespertilionidae. The record is from RNAcentral.
AGAAAUAUGCCUGACAAUAGGGUUACUUUGAUAGAGUAAACCAUAGGAGUUUAAAUCUCCUUAUUUCUA